RNAcentral lists this microRNA precursor (174 nucleotides) under Oryza sativa Indica Group (long-grained rice). RNAcentral's name for it is "MIR812 microRNA precursor family". It matches the Rfam family "MIR812 microRNA precursor family". The record is from Rfam by way of RNAcentral. Lineage: Eukaryota; Viridiplantae; Streptophyta; Magnoliopsida; Poales; Poaceae.
UUAACUCGCAGCCAUAAGUUUUUGUGUCUAAUUUUUAUUAUCUAUUUUAUUUAUUUUUUAUAAUUAGUAUUUUUUUUAUUGUUAUUAGAUGAUAAAACAUGAACAUUUUUUAUAAAAAAGUUAAAUAAGACGAACAAUUAAAUUUGGACACGGAAACUCAUAGCUGUGUUUAAA